RNAcentral lists this ribosomal RNA (280 nucleotides) under uncultured bacterium. Its description in RNAcentral is "partial 16S ribosomal RNA". It matches the Rfam family "Bacterial small subunit ribosomal RNA", at positions 29 to 329 of the family's 1533-position model. The record is from RNAcentral.
AGCGAACGCUGGCGGCAGGCCUAACACAUGCAAGUCGAACGGAUCCUUCGGGAUUAGUGGCAGACGGGUGAGUAACACGUGGGUGAUCUGCCCUGCACUUCGGGAUAAGCCUGGGAAACUGGGUCUAAUACCGGAUAUGACUACGGAUCGCAUGGUCUGUGGUGGAAAGCUUUUGCGGUGUGGGAUGGGCCCGCGGCCUAUCAGCUUGUUGGUGGGUAGCACCAGCGACGACGGUAGCGGCCUGAGAGGGUGACCGGCCACACUGGGACGUGAGAUACGG